GGUCACUGCUAUUGGGGUUCGGCUAAGCCAUGCGAGCGGAGGGCGCGGUCGCAAGAUCGUGGCCCCGCACACGGCUCAGUAACACGUAGUCAACCUACCCUUGGGACGGGGACAGCGCCGGGAAACUGGCGAUAAUCCCCGAUAGGUGAGGGACGCUGGGAUGCUUCUUCGCUCAAAGCUCCGGCGCCCGAGGAUGGGACUGCGGCCUAUCAGGCUGUUGGUGGUGUGACGGACCACCAAACCUACGACGGGUACGGGCGAUGGGAGUCGGAGCCUGGAGAUGGGGACUGAGACAAGGCCCCAGGCCCUACGGGGCGCAGCAGGCGCGAAAACUCCGCAAUGCGCGCAAGCGUGACGGGGGAACCCCAAGUGCCGUUGGUCUUUUGAUCGACGGCUUUUCGGAAGUCCAAUAAGCUUCCGGAAUAAGGGCUGGGUAAGACUGGUGCCAGCCGCCGCGGUAACACCAGCAGCCCAAGUGGUGGCCGCGAUUAUUGGGCCUAAAGCGCUCGUAGCCGGAUCAGCAAGUCCUUUGUGAAAUCGGGCCGCCCAACGGUUCGGCGUGCAAAGGAUACUGUUGGUCUUGAGACCGGGAGAGGUCGGAGGUACUCUUGGGGUAGCGGUGAAAUGCUGUAAUCCUGGGGGGACCACCAGUGGCGAAGGCGUCCGACCAGAACGGAUCUGACGGUGAGGGGCGAAGGCUAGGGGAGCGAACGGGAUUAGAUACCCCGGUAGUCCUAGCUGUAAAGCAUGCGGGCCAGGUGUCUAGCGCUCCUUGAGGGCGCUAUGUGCCGGAGGGAAGCCGUUAAGCCCGCCGCCUGGGAAGUACGGCCGCAAGGCUGAAACUUAAAGAAAUUGGCGGGGAGCACCACAAGGGUGGAACCUGCGGUUC
Molecule: ribosomal RNA, 889 nt
Filed under: uncultured archaeon
Lineage: Archaea
Description: bacterial SSU rRNA
Rfam family: Archaeal small subunit ribosomal RNA
Source: RNAcentral